CCGGAGCUAAUACCGGAUAUGACCUCGGAAGACAUCUUCUGAGGUGGAAAGAAUUUCGGCGGAGGAUGGGCCCGCGGCCUAUCAGCUUGUUGGUCGGGGUAAUGGCCCACCAAGGCGACGACGGGUAGCCGGCCUGAGAGGGCGACCGGCCACACUGGGACUGAGACACGGCCCAGACUCCUACGGGAGGCAGCAGUCGGGGGAAUAUUGCGCAAUGGGCGAAAGCCUGACGCAGCGACGCCGCGUGAGGGACGAAGGCCUUCGGGUUGUAAACCUCUUUCAGCAGGGACGAAGCGAAAGUGACGGUACCUGCAGAAGAAGCACCGGCCAACUACGUGCCAGCAGCCGCGGUAA
RNAcentral lists this ribosomal RNA (354 nucleotides) under uncultured bacterium. RNAcentral describes it as "bacterial SSU rRNA". It matches the Rfam family "Bacterial small subunit ribosomal RNA", at positions 157 to 523 of the family's 1533-position model. The record is from RNAcentral.